CGCACGGGUGAGUAACACGUAUCCAACCUGCCGUCUACUCUUGGACAGCCUUCUGAAAGGAAGAUUAAUACAGGAUGGCAUCAUGAGUCCGCAUGUUCACAUGAUUAAAGGUAUUCCGGUAGACGAUGGGGAUGCGUUCCAUUAGAUAGUAGGCGGGGUAACGGCCCACCUAGUCUUCGAUGGAUAGGGGUUCUGAGAGGAAGGUCCCCCACAUUGGAACUGAGACACGGUCCAA
This 235-nucleotide ribosomal RNA is filed under the name uncultured bacterium. Its description in RNAcentral is "partial 16S ribosomal RNA". It matches the Rfam family "Bacterial small subunit ribosomal RNA", at positions 99 to 334 of the family's 1533-position model. The record is from RNAcentral.